This 462-nucleotide ribosomal RNA is filed under the name Echinococcus ortleppi. RNAcentral's name for it is "partial small subunit ribosomal RNA". The record is from RNAcentral. Lineage: Eukaryota; Metazoa; Platyhelminthes; Cestoda; Cyclophyllidea; Taeniidae.
CAUCUGCGGUUAAUCUGUUUUCUUUGCUUUUAUGUGGAUAGUGCGUAUUUAUUUAUGUUCAAUGUUAGGUUAAAUUUUUUUGUGUUAGUGUUUAGUAAGUAAAUUUUGUGGUGAUAUAUGUUAUGACAGGGAUUAGAUACCCCAUUAAUGUAUUUUUAAAAUGCUGUCCUGGUUUUGUAACUAAAAUGGUUUGGCAGUGAGCGAUUCUUGUUAGGGGAAGAUGCAUAGUAAAGGAUGGUCCACCUAUUAUUUUGCUCUUGUUAUGUUGGUGUAUAUCUGGUUUGAUAUUAUCGUUUAAUGGUUUGAGUUUGUGUAGUUUUAGUUAAGCCAAGUCUAUGUGCUGCUUAUAGGAGUUUUUGUGUGUUACAUUAAUAAGGGUGUUAUUGUAAUAUGAUAUUAUUUAGGACUUAAUAGUAAUGUUUAAAUAAGUUUGUUGAUGUGAAAUAGGUUUAGCUCAGGUAC